AGUUGCGGCCAGUGUUUAGUCCCACCUCGCCAACCGAAGGGCGCUCACACCAGUUUAUAAGCCCGUCCCUCUAUGCCUUGUUGAGCUUCUCUUAAAGUGAAAAUAGAUGCCCUUAUACAGGGAAUUUGACCUAAAUUCACAGUAAAUUUCAUAGAAAUUUACUAUGAAUUUAGGUUUAAUUUUCUCUAUAAGCGCAUCUAUGUUCAUUUUUUAUAUUUAUAAAAUAAAUAAACCUUAAUAAAAUAAAUAAAACUAAAUAANNNNNNNNNNCUGAAAAGGUUAAAAGUUGGCAUGGUAUCAUAAUUUCACCCACAUAGCAUGUGCAAGAAAGUAGAGAGGGUUACGGCAAAAACUGGAUGCACUUCGUGUACAAAACGGACAAUCUCUUUCGAAGUAUCAGGGUUUCAUUCGGAAACUCGUCUGUUACAAAGGGAUUUCAUUUUUUUGAACUUUCUUGAACUCCAUAGUUUUUCUGUGUUCAAAAUGCACCAUUCAAAGCCACAUCAUCAAUUUUCAACCCUUUCUGACUUCAUUUGUUAUAUUUCAUACAUUUACUGAUUAUUUUGAGCUAUAAGACCCUGAAAUUGAAAAGCAUUUCAAAUCAACUAUGAAAAGGUUAAAAGUUGGCAUGGUAUCAUAAUUUCACCCACAUAGCAUGUGCAAGAAAGUAGAGAGGGUUACGGCAAAAACUGGAUGCACUUCGUGUACAAAACGGACAAUCUCUUUCGAAAUAUCAGGGUUUCAUACGGAAACUCGUCUGCUACAAAGGGAUUUCAUUUUUUUAACUUACUUGAACUCCAUAGUUUUUUGUGUUCAAAGUGCACCAUUCAAAGCCACAUCGUCAAUUUUCAACCCUUUUUGACUUCAUUUGUUAUUUUUCAUGCAUUUGCUGAUUAUUUUGAGCUAUAAAACCCUGAAAUUGAAAAGCAUUUCAAAUAAACUCUGAAAAGGUUAAAAGUUGGCAUGGUAUCAUAAUUUCACCCACAUAGCAUGUGCAAGAAAGUAGAGAGGGUUACGGCAAAAACUGGAUGCACUUCGUGUACAAAACGGACAAUCUCUUUCGAAGUAUCAGGGUUUCAUUCGGAAACUCGUCUGUUACAAAGGGAUUUCAUUUUUUAACUUACUUGAACUCCAUAGUUUUUGUGUGUUCAAAAUGCACCAUUCAAAGCCACAUCAUCAAUUUUCGACCCUUUCUGACUUCAUUUGUUAUUUUUCAUGCAUUUAUUGAUUAUUUUGAGCUAUAAGACCCUGAAAUUNNNNNNNNNNGAUGCACUUCGUGUACAAAACGGACAAUAUGUUUUGAAGUAUCACGAUUUCUUUCGGAAACUCGUCUGUUACAAAGGGAUUUCAUUUUUUUGAACUUACUUGAACUCCAUAGUUUUUCUGUGUUCAAAAUGCACCAUUCAAAGCCACGUCAUCAAUUUUCAACCCUUUUUGACUUCAUUUGUUAUUUUUCAUGCAUUUACUGAUUAUUUUGAGCUAUAAAACCCUGAAAUUGAAAAGCAAUUCAAAUCAACUCUGAAAAGGUUAAAAGUUGGCAUGGUAUCAUAAUUUCACCCACAUAGCAUGUGCAAGAAAGUAGAGAGGGUUACGGCAAAAACUGGAUGCACUUCGUGUACAAAACGGACAAUCUCUUUCGAAGUAUCAGGGUUUCAUUCGGAAACUCGUCUAUUACAAAGGGAUUUCAUUUUUCUGAACUUACUUGAACUGCAUAGUUUUUGUGUGUUCAAAAUGCACCAUUCAAAGCCUCAUCAUCAAUUUUCAACCCUUUCUNNNNNNNNNNCAGGGGCCUGCCGGGCCUCGUGGGGGCAUUGGUCCCGGUUCGUCCGGACCCGUUGGUCCCGGUUGGUGGGACAAACCGGGACCAAUGGGCCACGCUCCUGGCCCACCACCCUUUAGUCCCGGUUCCUACCACAAACCGGGACUAAAGGGCUGGUCCUAGUUGCGGCCAGUGUUUAGUCCCACCUCGCCAACCGAAGGGCGCUCACACCAGUUUAUAAGCCCGUCCCUCUAUGCCUUGUUGAGCUUCUCUUAAAGUGAAAAUAGAUGCCCUUAUACAGGGAAUUUGACCUAAAUUCACAGUAAAUUUCAUAGAAAUUUACUAUGAAUUUAGGUUUAAUUUUCUCUAUAAGCGCAUCUAUGUUCAUUUUUUAUAUUUAUAAAAUAAAUAAACCUUAAUAAAAUAAAUAAAACUAAAUAAGCCUUAAAUAAAAUAAACUAUAGUAACUACAAUAAAUAAACCUUAAUAAAUUAAGUAAAAAUAGCAGCAGUAAAAUAAAUAAAAAUAAAAUAAUUAAAGUAAAAUACAUAAGUAACUAGAAAUAAAAUAAAUAAGUUUUUUGUUGUAAGUAGAAACAAAACAAAACAAAUAAAGCAAAAGAGAAAAAAACAGAGGAAAAAAA
RNAcentral lists this long non-coding RNA (2402 nucleotides) under Triticum aestivum (bread wheat). Its description in RNAcentral is "long non-coding RNA (TAES_LNC018489)". The record is from RNAcentral. Lineage: Eukaryota; Viridiplantae; Streptophyta; Magnoliopsida; Poales; Poaceae.